UCUACUCAAGCAAAAUCUGUGUGGAAAGAUCCGCUGGGAAGGAACUGACUGCUUAUGUUUCUCCAUUGUGAUGAAAGCACAUGGUACAGGAUUCUAUCAUGUUCAGUAUUUAUGACAUCGGAAUGUACUCUGCAGAGAAGUGGUUCCGUCCAAAGCACCUUUUGAAUGGCUCAGGAAGAGCCGACAGCCCUUCUGCUUGAUUCAAGGGUCUUCGUAAUAACAGUGACCAGAAAGGAAAAUUCAAGAAAUGUGCAUGCUAG
RNAcentral lists this long non-coding RNA (260 nucleotides) under Canis lupus dingo (dingo). RNAcentral's name for it is "lncRNA (ENSCAFG00020012645.1)". Lineage: Eukaryota; Metazoa; Chordata; Mammalia; Carnivora; Canidae. The record is from RNAcentral.